AACGAACGCUGGCGGCGUGGAUAAGACAUGCAAGUCGAACGAUUGUCAUCGGGUAGCAAUAUUCGGUGGCGAGAGUGGCGCAAGGGUGCGUAACACGUGGGUAAUUUGCUGUGAAGUCUGGAACAACUUGCUGAAAGGCGAGCUAAUACCGGAUGUGAUUUCUAGAAGGCAUCUUCUGGAACUUAAAGUCGGGGACCGCAAGGCCUGACGCUUCUCAAUAAACCCGCGGCCUAUCAGCUAGUUGGUGAGGUAACGGCUCACCAAGGCUAAGACGGGUAGCUGGUCUGAGAGGACGACCAGCCACACUGGAACUGAGACACGGUCCAGACACCUACGGGUGGCAG
Molecule: ribosomal RNA, 344 nt
Filed under: uncultured Verrucomicrobiota bacterium
Lineage: Bacteria; Pseudomonadati; Verrucomicrobiota
Description: bacterial SSU rRNA
Rfam family: Bacterial small subunit ribosomal RNA
Source: RNAcentral